AGUGGCAGACGGGUGAGUAAUGUAUAGGAAUCUACCUAGUAGUACGGAAUAAUUGUUGGAAACGGCAACUAAUACCGUAUACGCCCUACGGGGGAAAAAUUUAUUGCUAUUAGAUGAGCCUAUAUUAGAUUAGUUAGUUGGUGAGGUAAAGGCUUACCAAGACAAUGAUCUAUAGCUGAUCUGAGAGGAUGAUCAGCCACACUGGAACUGAGAUACGGUCCAGACUCCUACGGGAGGCAGCAGUGGGGAAUAUUGGACAAUGGGCGAAAGCCUGAUCCAGCCAUGCCGCAUGAGUGAAGAAGGCCUUCGGGUUGUAAAGCUCUUUUAGUGAGGAAGAUAAUGACGGUACUCACAGAAGAAGUCCUGGCUAACUCCGUGCCAGCAGCCGCGGUAAUACGGAGAGGGCUAGCGUUAUUCGGAAUCAUUGGGCGUAAAGGGCGCGUAGGCGGGUUAGUAAGUUAAAAGUGAAAUCCCAAGGCUCAACCUUGGAACUGCUUUUAAAACUGCUAGUCUAGAGAUUGAAAGAGGAUAGAGGAAUUCCUAGUGUAGAGAUGAAAUUCGUAAAUAUUAGGAGGAACACCAGUGGCGAAGGCGGCUUACUGGUCUGUUACUGACGCUGAGGUGCGAAAGCGUGNGGAGCAAACAGGAUUAGAUACCCUGGUAGUCCACGCCGUAAACGAUGGAAGCUAGCCGUCGGCAAGUUUACUUGUCNGUGGCGCAGUUAACGCAUUAAGCUUCCCGCCNGGGGAGUAC
This 753-nucleotide ribosomal RNA is filed under the name uncultured Hyphomicrobiales bacterium. Its description in RNAcentral is "bacterial SSU rRNA". It matches the Rfam family "Bacterial small subunit ribosomal RNA", at positions 94 to 883 of the family's 1533-position model. Lineage: Bacteria; Pseudomonadati; Pseudomonadota; Alphaproteobacteria; Hyphomicrobiales. The record is from RNAcentral.